AUUUUCUGCAAUCCCCUCCUAUACCUCAGAUGCAUGAGGGACACCUUUGCCACCAGCUGUCCUCAUUACACCGUGCGCGCGGCAGCAUAUCGGACUCUCCCGAUAUGCCCACUUUGGUAGCAUACCGGAUCAAAUUGUGUCCGUUAUCCACCGUUAUGUGGCAUAUCGCUGCAUAUCGGAAAAUCGAAUAUGCAAGCGCGCGCACAGUGUUAGAUGCCUUUUUUGGCUUUACGUAAUUGAUGGCCAUUUAGCUAAGAAGGCACGCGACGCAAUUAAUGGUUUUUGAAGCGAAAUAGCGGAGACCUAAAAUUGGGGAAGGAUGUCUGGAGCCAGGGUGGGCUCAUAUGUCGUAAUAGCAUGCACCGAAGCCAAUUGUUGAUCCAAAGAGGAGUCCGAGGGUUCGCUAGCAUCGGGAGGAGCGUGUUGCGAGAGAUAGUCAGCGAGAAUGUUGUAUUCCCCUUUGAUGUAUUCAAUACGGAGAUCAAAGACCUUGAGGGUACUGAGCCAGCGAAGUUGGCGAGGAGAGAGAUUGCGUUGACCAAGGAACCAUUGAAAUGUGAAGUGAUCGCAAUAAACGUGGACAGGAACGCCGUAGAGUAGAGGACGCCAGUGGUUGAGAGCGUUGAUAAUCGCAAGAAGCUCGCGGUCAUGUACCCGGUAAUUACGCUGGGCGCUAUUGAAGGUUCGAGAGUCGUAGGCGACCGGUUGUACAGAGUCCCGAGAGGUAUCGACACCGAUCCAUGCGCCAGUACCGGUAUUAGACGCAUCGGUGAAUCGGAAGACCCUUCUGUGUUCCCGCCUUGACAGCAUCGUAAUCAAUAACGGUAAGACAAGGAACACUACUCACCGCGCGUCGAACAACCUCAAAAAGCGGCUUGCUCGGCAGGCCCAAAAGACCAAGUCCAACCUGUCCAGCCAUCCGGAAGGUGACCCUUGUGCAUCUUCAUUGCCUCGUAGUAGGCCUUUUCUGCCGUGCUGCUUGGGGCGAGAGCCGCAUGGAGAACUGCGGUGUGAUUGGCGAGGUUAGGCACGAAGUCGCGGAGGUAGUUGACGAGGCCGAGAAACGAAUGGAGUUGGUGAGAGUUAGCCGGCAGGGGAAACUGCUCGACACGUGCAAUCUUGGCGAGGUCGGGGAGCAUCUGACCGGGGCGUAUAAUGUGUCCUAAGAAAGGAACUUCGUCGAGAAAUAGCUGGGAUUUCCUGCGAGAACAGCGGAGACCACUUCGACGGAGGACAUGGUAACUUAAAGAAGUCGGGACUCCUCCUGAGUCGUGUUUGUUGGCCUUAACUUUUACAUGUGUAUUAGUUUGCAGGUGUACAUAAACUGGUGAGCGAAACAGGUGAGGAGGGAAGCCUAGGCUCAACACAAGCCUCUCAACGCAUAUGGGCCGGUCUCCAACGAGGCACGAAAUGAAGUAGUAGGCUAUGCUGUUUUCCGGACCAGGAACAAAAAGGCUCCAACAACCAUUUUCCGGUCUCGUGACUAUGAUGAUGACUGGCAAAAUCGUUAUGGUACCUAUACAGUAUGGAAAUAUUAUCGAUAAUCUGCGUUAUAUGUCUUUGCAAGAUAUGUCUUUAUCUACAACCUCUUUGCACCUCGUUUAAUCUUGCUCACAGGCGCUGUCUUGGUUCCGCCGUUACAUGCGGCUCUGGAGUUUCCAAACGCCUUCAAGUCGUUCUUCCAUUCCUGCACAUGCUGCACCGGGCGAGAAAGAGUAGGGCCCUGUUCUUGCGAGUUGCUGUUGUUUAGCGGAAUAGGUCUGUGUAAUUUAACGUUCAUGGGACUUGGUGAUGUCCCGGUCGGCAUAUGCUCGUCUGAUGUUGAC
RNAcentral lists this small RNA (1826 nucleotides) under Cryptococcus neoformans H99. Its description in RNAcentral is "Cryptococcus neoformans var. grubii H99 hypothetical RNA". The record is from RNAcentral. Lineage: Eukaryota; Fungi; Basidiomycota; Tremellomycetes; Tremellales; Cryptococcaceae.